AUUGAACGCUGGCGGCAGGCUUAACACAUGCAAGUCGAGCGGGGGAAGGUAGCUUGCUACCGGACCUAGCGGCGGACGGGUGAGUAAUGCUUAGGAAUCUGCCUAUUAGUGGGGGACAACAUCUCGAAAGGGAUGCUAAUACCGCAUACGUCCUACGGGAGAAAGCAGGGGAUCUUCGGACCUUGCGCUAAUAGAUGAGCCUAAGUCGGAUUAGCUAGUUGGUGGGGUAAAGGCCUACCAAGGCGACGAUCUGUAGCGGGUCGGAGAGGAUGAUCCGCCACACUGGGACUGAGACACGGCCCAGACGCCUACGGGAGGCAGCAGUGGGGAAUAUUGGACAAUGGGGGGAACCCUGAGCCAGCCAGGCCGAGUGUGUGAAGAAGGCCUUAUGGUUGGAAAGCACUUUAAGCGAGGAGGAGGCUACUUUAGUUAAUACCGAGAGAUAGUGGACGGUACUCGCAGAAUAAGCACCGGCUAACUCUGUG
RNAcentral lists this ribosomal RNA (485 nucleotides) under uncultured bacterium. RNAcentral describes it as "partial 16S ribosomal RNA". It matches the Rfam family "Bacterial small subunit ribosomal RNA", at positions 29 to 507 of the family's 1533-position model. The record is from RNAcentral.